This 225-nucleotide ribosomal RNA is filed under the name uncultured Thorsellia sp. RNAcentral describes it as "partial 16S ribosomal RNA". It matches the Rfam family "Bacterial small subunit ribosomal RNA", at positions 568 to 792 of the family's 1533-position model. Lineage: Bacteria; Pseudomonadati; Pseudomonadota; Gammaproteobacteria; Enterobacterales; Thorselliaceae. The record is from RNAcentral.
CGCGUAGGCGGCCAAUUAAGUCAAAUGUGAAAUCCCCGAGCUUAACGUGGGCAUUGCAUUUGAAACUAUGUAGCUAGAGUUCUGUAGAGGGGGGUAGAAUUCCAGGUGUAGCGGUGAAAUGCGUAGAGAUCUGGAGGAAUACCGAUUGCGAAGGCAGCCCCCUGGACAGUGACUGACGCUCAUAUGCGAAAGCGUGGGGAUCAAACAGGAUUAGAUACCCCCGUA